Dromaius novaehollandiae (emu) is the source of this 1050-nucleotide long non-coding RNA. RefSeq lists it as uncharacterized. The record is from RefSeq and is a predicted model, not a curated record. The transcript has 3 exons. NCBI's taxonomy places the organism in Eukaryota, Metazoa, Chordata, Aves, Casuariiformes, Dromaiidae.
UUAAAGUAGGGAAAUGGGAAUACAAGAAAAUUGCUCCUGAGAGGAUGCAACUGAUGAGGACCUUUCUGCUGUUGUGGCUAUAAAACAGACUAUACUAAAGCUCAGAAGUAAAAGAGUAAUAGGACAGAUACGUCCAACACAAAGGGAUACAGCAAUACAUGCAUCUGAUUUAUGGAUUACUCUCAGCAUUGUUUUGCCCACAAACUCAGGCACGUCAACUUUGUACUUAAGGAGGAGGUAGAGUGAGAACAACAGAGGGAAAGAGAGAGAGAGACAGAGAACUAGCAGCAGGAUGGAUGGAUCACUUCAGCUUGCUCUCCACUUCCCAUCACCUGCAUCCAACAUCCUAUGUGUGCAUCCUCUCCAGUAUACUGCUCAGUCAAUCAAGUUAACACAGAGUGUCAUCAGUAUGUACAGCAUGUAAGGACUACAGUAUUGAUGCACUCACUCAGCCGUGAGUAGUGCUGCACAAAAUCACUGAACAUGGCAGGAAUCAUUUAUUUUUGUGAAGGGAAUCAGUCCUAAUCUUGGAAACCUUGCAGCACUUGGCUUCUGUCUGCUUGACUUUGGGUAUUAACCUUCAGAACACAAACAUGAUGGUGUUCUGGCAAAUCUGGGGAAAAAUGAUACAAAAAUAAAUCUCUACAAAUGGGAAUGCUUUGUGUUUCAUAAACAGAUUGAAUACAGGGCUGAUAAUGUAAUACAAAAUAUUUAAAGCUUAGAAAUAGCAAAUACCUGGCAGACUGCUCUAUAUGGAAAAUGAUACCUGAUUCAAAAAUCUUAAAAUAUACAAAUAUGAAUACUUGCCAAUUAAUAAAUUUGCAAGCAUUAAAACUCUGGAACAAAUCAGAAUGGGUUGGGCUUAACACUGAUCUCUCAUAUCAUCCUGUCUCUUUUUCUCUAAUCUUACUGUGCACUCUCUUUUUAUAGCUAUGAUUUGUGUUAUGGUCUUCGGGGGGAUUUAUUAAAGUGGUACUAUACCAAUAAGAAACAUAUUUGAUAUGAAUUAUCCUUGUAGUUUUAUGAGCAUGAAUGACUGAUGACUUAUAA